This 497-nucleotide ribosomal RNA is filed under the name uncultured bacterium. Its description in RNAcentral is "partial 16S ribosomal RNA". It matches the Rfam family "Bacterial small subunit ribosomal RNA", at positions 28 to 507 of the family's 1533-position model. The record is from RNAcentral.
GAUGAACGCUGGCGGCGUGCCUAAUACAUGCAAGUCGAGCGAACAGACGAUGAUCUUGCUCCUCUGACGUUAGCGGCGGACGUGUGUGUAACACGUGGAUCACCUACCUAUAAGACUGGUAAAACUUCGGGAAACCGGAUCUAAUAGCGGAUAAUCUACUGAACCGCGUGGUUCAAUGGUGAGAUUCGGUUUUGCUGUCACUUCUCGAUGGAUCCGCGCUGCAUUAGCUAGUUGUUAAGGUAACGGCUUACCAAGGCAACGAUGCGUAGGCGACCUGAGAGGGUGAUCGGCCACACUGGAACUGAGACACGGUCCAGACUCCUACGGGAGGCAGCAGUAGGGAAUCUUCCGCAAUGGGCGAAAGCCUGACGGAGCAACGCCGCGUGAGUGAUGAAGGUCUUCGGAUCGUAAAACUCUGUUAUUAGGGAAGAACAAAUGUGUAAGUAACUAUGCACGUCUUGACGGUACCUAAUCAGAAAGCCACGGCUAACUACGUG